Molecule: long non-coding RNA, 36793 nt
Filed under: Manihot esculenta (cassava)
Lineage: Eukaryota; Viridiplantae; Streptophyta; Magnoliopsida; Malpighiales; Euphorbiaceae
Description: long non-coding RNA (MESC_LNC005136)
Source: RNAcentral
AGGAAUCUCUCACGAUGUUUGUUCUCUUAGCAUCUUAAUUAAUUGCUUCUGCCACUUACACCUUGUGGAUUUUGGCUUCUCUGUUUUUGGUAAGAUGCUCAAAUUCGGAUUGGAGCCUGACAUUGUGACAUUUACGACCUUAAUUAAUGGGCUUUGUAUAGAGAGUAAAAUCGACAAAGCAGUGGAAUUUUUCGAUGAUAUGGUUGCACGUGGUUAUCAACCUAAUGUUUAUACUUACAGUGUGAUAAUAAACGGAAUGUGUAAAUUUGGGAAAACAAGUGUGGCCAUUAGGCUACUAAAGGGAAUGGCUGAUAGAGGUUGUGAGCCAAAUGUUGUGACAUACAGUGCAAUCAUUGACGCCCUUUGCAAAGAUGAGCUAGUUGGUGAGGCUUUAGAGCUCUUCUCUCAAAUGAGGAAUAAGGGUAUUUCAUCUAAUGUCAUCACUUACACUAGUUUAAUUCAUGGUGUUUGCAAAUUAGGCCAAAAGAACCAAGCUUUGGCCUUGAUGAAUGAAAUGGUGGAGCAGAACAUAUUACCAAAUGUUUAUACCUUCAAUGUAUUGAUUGAUGCUCUUUGUAAGGAUGGAAUGGUUUCAGAGGCUCAAAAUACAUUCAAUGUAAUGAUUCAAAGAGGUGUAGAGCCUGAUGUGGUCACCUACAAUUCCUUAAUUGAUGGUCUUUGCAUUUCCGACCAAUUCAAGGAAGCUUUGGCCUUGUUGAAAGAAAUGGUGGGGAGGAACAUAUCCCCUGAUGUUUUUACCUUCAAUAUAUUGAUCGACACUCUUUGUAAGAAAGGACUGGUUUCAAAUGCAGAGAAUAUAAUCAAAAUAAUGAUUCAAAGAGGUGUGGAACCUACCGUUGUCACUUAUAGUUCAUUGAUGGAUGGAUAUUGUCUGUGCAAGCAAAUUGAUAAGGCUAGAAAGGUAUUUGAUCUGAUGGUGACCAAUGAAAUAGCUGGCAUUUUUAGCUACACCAUUUUGAUCAAUGGAUAUUGUAAGUGCAAAAUGAUAGAUGAUGCAAAGGAACUUUUUGAUGAAAUGUCUCAUAAAGGUUUAGUUCCUAAUGUUGUUACUUAUUCUACUCUUAUAGAGGGUAUGUUUCAAGCAGGGAGGCCCCAAACUGCACAGGAGCUCUUUAAGAAUAUGUGCUCUCAUGGUCAACAGCCAAAUAUGGUAACCUUCUCAAUUAUGAUUGAUGGCUUUUGUAGACAGGGGAAUCUCGAUGAGGCACUUACACUAUUGAAAGAAAUGGAGAAAAGUCAGUUGAAGCCUGAUCUUGUGACCUAUUGCAUUCUGAUCAAUGGUAUGUGCAAAGCUGGCAAGAUUAAUGAUGCCAAGGAACUGUUUUCUAGUCUUUUUGAAAAUGGUUUACAACCUAAUGUUCAUAUAUAUUGUGCAAUUAUGAAAGGACUCUGCCGAGAGGGAUUAAUAGAUGAAGCAUAUAAGAUUUUUAGAGACAUGGAAAAGGGAGGAUGUUUACCGAAUAAUUGGUGUUAUAAUAUCAUCAUUCAAGGGUUUCUCAAGCAUGAGGAUUUACCAAAAGCAUCAGAACUAAUCAAUGAAAUGGUUGACAAGGGAUUCUCUGCCGAUGCUACUACCACCGAAUUAGUAGUACGUUUAUUGUGCAAUGAUGAUCUCAUUGAGGCUUUUAAAGGUGCGCAAUGAGGGAUCAGCAAACUAAAGUUGUUAGAUCUUGACCAUUCAAGUGUAUCUUGGAGUGCAACUUGGUAAUUACCUUUUUCAAAUAUAAUAGAUAUGUAAUUUAACUAACUUCUUCAAAUAUCAUUUUAAAUUUCAAUCAGCUGUGAUUCUCUUCCACAAAACGAAAAUUUCUAACACUGCAAAUUACCUGUGAUGGAAACCAUGAUAUGUGUGUGCCUUUCGCUUGAAUUCAGACAUGGACUAGAUCUCUUUGAUAUAAGAUUGUUGAUGAAUGGAGGUCAUGGAUUUCUAAUCAUCAAGUUGCUGCGUGGUAAACCCACCAUCUCCAUUACAAUUUUUUUUUUGGCUGCUACUACAGCCUUUACUCGAGAGCUCAGUCCUAAAAUUGAGUUGAGAACUAAAACUAAUUGGUUCCAUACUACAAUGCCUAAGAAUCUUUUAUCUAUUUUUAUUUUUGUGCUCAAUGACCUUUCAAAAUGCUAUCAUUUCUCUUUUAGGUACUUGCAAGGAUAUGACUACAACUUCACCUUUCUAACCAGAAAGGAAUAAGCAAUUCAUUUUUGCUUAGUUAUUAUAAUUUUUAAUAAUAAUGAAACUAAUGAUUAUAAACCAGUGUGCUUUAUAUACAGUCCCAGAAUACAAGGUAAGAGAAUCACUAUGGGAUAAACUUGGUGCUUUAAAGCAUCAUCUAACUAUUUGUGAAUGUGGUGCUUCUGAAGUAUAGCUUGAGAGAGAGAGAGAGAGUGAGAAUAAACUGAUGGCAAUUUUUAAUGAGUUGUUUGACCAUAUAAGAAAUCAAAUCUUGAUUUUGGAUCUGUUACCAACACUCAAUAAAGUCUAUAAGUCUAUAUGCAGCCAGUGAGUGUGUUGAUGGACAAGCAACUGCAAUUGGUCCUACUAGCGAUUGGAAUGCUAGUUUAGCUUCAGCUAUUUAACAGGACUUUUUGUCCAAAUCUAUUUAAGAACAAGUUCAUAAAAGGCAGGAUAGCUCUAUAUAUAACACAAGUAUAAUCUUGCAAUAUACUUCAUAAAAUUUUCUUUGAGCUGUUAUUUACUCACCACCUGCAGUAGUUAUCAAGUCUUAAAUUAGUUAGAUAUUCAAUAAAAAGACAUUAUUCUCUACAUAAUAUGCUUCUUAAAACAAAAUUUGAUUCAAUUUAUUUUAACACCAUAAUUCUUUAUAAAAAAAAUACCUACAAAAUUUCUUACAGUUAGUAAUUUACAGUUAGUAAUUUAAUGGUCAUGGUCAGUAAACGGUCAGUAACUUAUUUUACAAAUCUCUUUUUCCAUAAUUUGAUCAGUUAACAUGAUUUCCUCUGGUGCCUUAUUAUUUAUAAAUACUAAUAAUUACAUUGUAAAAUUUAUAAUUUAUUUUUAUUAAUAUAAUUUAUUUAAUUAAUUUAUAAUAUAAUAUUUUAAUUUACAUAUAAAAUCCACAUGUUCACGUCUAUUAUAAUGGAUUAAAAAAUUAUACAAAUAUACAUUAUUUAAAAUAUUUCAAUUUGAUUUGUUCGAUUAAUUUAUUAUUUUAAUUUAAUUUAUGUUCUAUUAACAAAUAUAAUAUUAAAAUUUUAAUAGAUUAAAUAUUUUAUUAAAACUAUUAUAUGUUUUAAUAAUUUAAUUAUAUUAAGAUUAGUACGUAAUUAGAUAUAUUUGUCUAUGCUAUAAAAUCUCAAUAUCAUACAAUACAUUGUUAAGAAAUAUACUACAUAAUUAAUUCAGACGAGAAAGUAGGCAAUAUGUUAAAAAAGAAAAAAAUAUAAUUCUUGUUAAGAACCAGAAUUAAAUUAAAUUUUUAAUACUUUAAUAUAAAGAAAAACUAUAGUUCUUAUUAAGAAUUAGAACCAAAUUAAAUUUCUAAUACUUUAAUGCAUUUGAAAUUAAAUUUUGGUAUAAUUCUGAUACGAUUAUAAGUAAUUCCAGUACUGCUUCAAUUUGAUUUUAAAUUUUUUUAUUUUAUUUUAGUUUUAUUUCAAUUUAAAUUUUAAUUUUUACAAAUAAAAUCAUAAUAGCUUUUACGUAUAUUUUAAAAUAGUAAAUAAUUAAUAUUAAAAUAAUAAUACAAAUAUUUAAAUAAUAACAGUAGUAAUAUAAUAUAUAUAUAUAUAUACACAACGCUCGAUGAGAUAAUUUUAUUAUUUUAUGUAGUUAUUAAUUAUAUAAUUUUUAAUUAAAAUUAUAUAAAAUUAAUAUAUAAAUAUAUAUUAUAUUACUAAUACGUAAUUUACUCAUAUAAUUAAAAAAUUAUAAAAUAAUUAAUACAUUUAUGAUUGAUAUAAAAAAAUACACACAUGGAUAUAUAUAAUUGGAUUAUAAUAAUUUUUUUUAAAAAAAUAUAUGUUAAUGAUAAUUUUAUUAAAUAACAUAUAUUAGCAAAUAUAAUAAAAAUUUGAAUAUUUCAAUUACAAUAAAAAAAUCAACUAAAAUGAUAUAUUUUCUUAAUUUUAUUUUAUUAUAAUUUUUUUGAUAACUUUGAUUAAAUAUAUUCAUAUAAUAAUGUGAUAUUAAGAUAAUAGGAGCUGAAGCAAUAAUAAUAAUAAUAUAUAAAAAAUUAAUAAAAAGAUGAAAAAAUAAUGGUAAAAUAUUAUUUAGUUUGUGAAAGUGUUAAAUUUGGUCGUAGAGAAAUAGAGUGGUUUAUUGGAGAUUUUGAAAUCAAAGGAAUAUUUAUAUUUUUUGGAAGGCAAACUCAAAGCGGCAAUAUAAUAAUAUAUCUGGCUUUAAAGAGAGAUAAAUCAAUGUUAAUCAGACUACUACCGGAUGUUUUUAUACUCAAUUUCUGAUUAGAUUGAUAGGAGAGUGAGAGAAAGCUCAGUUUCAAGAGAUGAUUUGUUCAGAGAUCAGUCUCUUUUAUCAAAAUGUCAGUUUUAGAGCUACUCAUACAAAACUAAAUAUAAAAUGAAGUUUCUUGUUAGAAAUUUGAUAUAUUUUUCUAUGCUACAAAAUCUCAAUAUAAGCGAGAUAGUGGGCAACAUGCUGAAAGGAAAUAAUUCUGAUACUUUUAUCAAUAGAUUUUACUAAUAAAAUCUCAGUAUCAUGCAAUACAUCGUUUUAAUGGUUCAACCAAGAUAGUGGGCAACAUACUAAAAGGAAAAGCUAUAGUUAUGAUACUUUUAUCAUUAGAUUUUACUACAAUAUACUUUAAUCUAUUAGUAAUUUUAACAAAUUUAUUAAAAAAUUUGAAAAUCCUAAAAAUAAUUUUUAAUAUAAAAAGUUGUAUAAAAAUUCACCAACAUUUGAAAUCUGUUGGUAAUCUAUUGGUAUUACUAACAAAUUUAAAAAUUUAUUGAAAAUUUAUAAAUUUAUAAAAUAAUUGGUGUUGGAAUUGACUAACAGAUUUAAAAUCUAUAAGUAAAUUAGUAACAAUUUUAAUUUGUUAGUAAAUUUAGGGGUGUAAAUGAUAUAAACCGUUUGUGAGUUAUUCGAUAUUCGACUCGAUAAAAAUUUGACCGAGCUCGACUCGAUUUUUAAACGAUCCAAACUCGGACUUAAUUUUUAGGCUUGUUUAGUAAAUGAGGCACAUUUAAACUCCAUAAUAUUCAUCUCGUUAAGACUCGUGAGUUCGGCUCGCAUUCGAAUUUAUGAGCAGACUCUGAAUAGUCUCAUUAAGCAGAUUAAGAUUAAUAUAUCAUAAGAGAAAUAAAUUUAAAUCAUGCAUAUAAUUUCAUGCGCCAAAUCUAAAUUUUAUAAAGUUUAAUUCUAUAUUGUUUAAUUGUACUAUUAAAACUUGCAUAUAUUUGAAACGUUAAGAGCUCAUCUUUAUAAGUUUACGAGCUAAUUUAUAUAUAUGAAAGUCAGCUACUUGCUUGAUGUGGGACGUCCCAUAUCGGCGAAGUACGGAAAAUCAAAAUUGUAUAUAAUAGAUAGUACAAAACUACUAAAUAACUUUGAAUUAACCAGGUCAGGUAGAAAAUGGAUCCAUAAGUUAUUUGGGUCAAUUUGGGUCGGACUGUUUCAAUUGAAUCAGAGCCGCCCUGGGUUAGAGCUAAUGGGCUUGCGAGGAAAGAGCUACCCGUAUGAGAUGAAAUGAAACUGUCCGAGACACUAGCGAAUCAUAAUACCAAAGUUGAGAUUAUUAAUACUUAACUCGUCUAAAUUCAGUUCGAGUUCGAAAUGAGUAAAACUCGAGUUCGGCUUGAAUUUAAAAAAAUUUUAAUAAACUAAAUUUGAACUCUUCAAAACUCAGCUCUACUCUUCGUUUACGCUCUAAGUGACAGAUUUAAAAAUUCAUUACUAAAUUUUAUCAUCAAAUUAAUAAGUAUUAAAUUUAUCAACAGAUGUUAUCCGCUAGUAAAUCCUUUGAUAAAUUUAAAAUAAAAUCCUAUAUAAAAUUUCUGCAUUUUUUUUUACAACUCAUAUUUUUCAGUUACAAACUGAUUUACUAACAGAUUUUAAAUCCAUUGGUAAUUUUUGGAGAGAAAAAUAUUGUUUUUUUUUAUAAAAAAGAAUUUAAUAUCAAAUUGUAAAAUCAUUAGUAAUUCGUGUUUAUAAAUGUAAUACCAACUCCUCUGUAUUUAUUAUUCAUUCAUUUUAUCAUAUGCCUUUCUUUCAUUUUUUUCCCUUUCUCUCAUUUUCUUUUCUUUUUUCUAUUACUUUCUUUCAUUUCAAUUUUUUUAUCUCAUAAGACUUUUUUAUUUUUUCUAUUAUUUUUCUCUCUCUUAUCCUAUUGUCUAUCAUUCUCUUUUUCUCUUCUAUUAUUUUUUUCAUUCUUCAUAAUUUUCCUUUUAUUUUCUCCCUUUUCUUUUCCAUCUUUUUCUUUCAUUUCCUUUUAUCUUCUUUGUUUUCUCUAUACUUUUCAUUUAUAUUAAUUUUUUUAAUAUUAUUUUCUUCUAUCAUUUUCUUCUAUCAUUUUCUUUCGAUUUACAUUUUUUCUAUUAUUUUCUCUUUAUUUAUUUUCUUAUCUAAUCAUUUGUUCACUUUUUUCAUUUCUCUAAUAAUUUUUUACUCAACUCUCAUUCAUUCUUCUUUUUCAUAAUUUUUAUUUUUCUAUUAUUUUCUUUAUUUUUCUCUUUUUUCUUUCUUUUUUAUUAUUUUCUCUCAUUUUAUACCAUUUACUUUUUUUUUUUAAUUUUCACUUUUUUGGAUAUAAAUUAAAAACUUGGUAACAAUAAUAAUAUAAUUUUAAAUCUUAUUAUAUUAAUAAAAAUUAUUUAAACUCUCAAUAGAUUUACUAAUAAAUUGCAAUUCGUUGAUAAUUUACUAAUGGAUUUCACGUCUGUUAAUAAAUUAUUUUUCUCUUAUACUAACGGAUUUAAAAUUUGUUAAUAAUUUAAAAUCUGUUAGUAGUAAUAGCGGAAACUCCGUUAAUAAAUUCACUAGUUUACUAACGAACUUGAAAACCAUUAGUAAAAAUUUAACACCGAACUUUUUAACAACGGAUCGUAAUAUGUUAGUAAUUCAUUGUUAAUUUUAAUUCAUUUACCAACGGAUUUUUAUUAGAUUGCCAGUGGAAAAAUCACUGCAUUAUUAAUACAAAUUAAGAAGUUGUUGAUUCUUAUCUUUACAAUAAGAUGUCUUUGAAACUCUUAAGACUUUUGAAGCUAAAAUUGAAGAAACAUUUAUGAUGUUGUAUUUCUCCUUUGGUUGAAACGGUUAUUCAUGCAAGAUGAUUUUUUCUGUUAUAACACUUUGGAAUGAUAUCUAUUAUUGGAAUGCAUAUGAUUGUUUGACUGAUAUGAAAUAAGUAUAAGGAGUAUAUAAUUAAAAAGAUAAUUAUAGUUAUCGAUCCAUUCAUGUCAUUUAAUUUUAGGGCUGUGCAAUUGGUCGGUUCGGUUCCGAACCGAACCGAACCGAUAAAACCAAAAAUCGACAUGUUAAAAUUUUAAAAACCGAAAAAAUCGAUUAUGAAGAUAUAAUCUAACCGAAUCGAACCGAUAAAAAUUGGUUCAGUUCGGUUCGGUUCAAACCGAAAUCUGUUGGGUUGGGCUUAGGCCCGAAAGGGAAGGAGGGGUUGGGGUGCUGGGUUGAAUAUGAGAGGCCAAAGGGAGGGCUUGGGCUCGGGUUUGGGCUUGGGUCUAGCUACUAAAUCGGUUUUUUGGUUUGAUCGGUUAUUUAACAUGUUUAAACCGAACCGAACUGAAAACCGAAUAAUUUUAAAUAUAAUAACCGAACUGAAAAACCGAAAUCAACCGGUUCGGUUCGAUUUUUCAGUUUAGACCGAAAUCUGCUCUCCCCUAUUUAAUUUUACUAUCCGUUAAUAAAUUCAUUUAUAUCUAUUUAAUUUUAAUCUUAUAUCAGUAAAUUAUAAAAGAUGAAAGUUCUUUUUCCCUAUUAAAAGAGAAGAUCUCUCCUCCCUUUAAUAUUAGUACCUGAUUUUUUAUAAUUUAUAAUACAAUAUACUGUAUAUUAAAUGUAUAGAAAUAAUUUAAUUAUUAUAAAUUUAAGUUAAUAUUAUUAAUAAUUAAUUAAAAUAACAAAUACAAAUUUAAAAUGCAAAAUAUAUUUAGUGAGUUUAACAUUUAAAAAUUUUAUUAUUUUAAAAUAAUUUUAUAUAUUAAUUUUUUACUGAUAUUAAUUAAAAUUAUAAUAUUAUUCAAAUAAAAUGUCAAAAUAAAAAUAUAUCAAACUAUUUUUAUUAGGGUGAGCAUUCGGUCGAUUCAGUUUAAAAUCAAAUUAAAUCGUAUAAAAUAAAAAUAAAAAUUUUAGUAUUUAUAAAAAUCAGAACGAACUGAUUUUGAUCAGAAACCGAAUUGAAUCGAACCGAUUUAAUUCGAUUCGAUUAGAUCGAUUUAAAUUUUUAAUAAAUUUUUUCUUUUUUAGCUUUAUCUUUAAUAUUUUAAAAUUUAAUUUAAAUAUUUUAACCUCAAUAUAAUUUAAUCUCUCUAUAUUAUUGAAAAUAAUAUAUUAUUAUCAUUAAAUCGAUUCAGUUUAUCUAUUCAGUUUAGAUUUUUUAAUUUUUUUAUCAAAAUCAAACCAAAUCAAAAUAAUCGAAAUUUUUAAAAUUAAAAAUUAAACCAAAUCAAAAUGAAUAAAAAAUUAAAUUAAAAUUUUAAAUUAAUUCAAUUCAAUCAAUUUUUUCGAUUUGAACUCAAUACUACUCACCUCUAAUUCUUAUGAGAGUUAAGCUUUGUAAAAAGAAAUUAAUUUUUAUUAUAUUAAAAUAAAGUAAUUAAUAAUAAAAAAUUAUAUAACGUUACUCAUUUUAAAUUUCUAAUUAUAUUAGAGUAAAAUUAAACAAUAAACUAUUUAUUUUUUCCUCAUCUAUAUUAUAUACAAUUAGACUAUAAUAAUAUUUUUAAAAAUAUACAUUGAUAAUUAUUUAUUAAAUAAAAAAUAUUAUUUAAUAAAAUAAAAAAUCAAUAUACUACAAUUAUAUUUAUAAUAUUUUAUUUAAAAAUAUAAAGUUAACAAAAUUNNNNNNNNNNNNNNNNNNNNNNNNNNNNNNNNNNNNNNNNNNNNNNNNNNNNNNNNNNNNNNNNNNNNNNNNNNNNNNNNNNNNNNNNNNNNNNNNNNNNNNNNNNNNNNNNNNNNNNNNNNNNNNNNNNNNNNNNNNNNNNNNNNNNNNNNNNNNNNNNNNNNNNNNNNNNNNNNNNNNNNNNNNNNNNNNNNNNNNNNNNNNNNNNNNNNNNNNNNNNNNNNNNNNNNNNNNNNNNNNNNNNNNNNNNNNNNNNNNNNNNNNNNNNNNNNNNNNNNNNNNNNNNNNNNNNNNNNNNNNNNNNNNNNNNNNNNNNNNNNNNNNNNNNNNNNNNNNNNNNNNNNNNNNNNNNNNNNNNNNNNNNNNNNNNNNNNNNNNNNNNNNNNNNNNNNNNNNNNNNNNNNNNNNNNNNNNNNNNNNNNNNNNNNNNNNNNNNNNNNNNNNNNNNNNNNNNNNNNNNNNNNNNNNNNNNNNNNNNNNNNNNNNNNNNNNNNNNNNNNNNNNNNNNNNNNNNNNNNNNNNNNNNNNNNNNNNNNNNNNNNNNNNNNNNNNNNNNNNNNNNNNNNNNNNNNNNNNNNNNNNNNNNNNNNNNNNNNNNNNNNNNNNNNNNNNNNNNNNNNNNNNNNNNNNNNNNNNNNNNNNNNNNNNNNNNNNNNNNNNNNNNNNNNNNNNNNNNNNNNNNNNNNNNNNNNNNNNNNNNNNNNNNNNNNNNNNNNNNNNNNNNNNNNNNNNNNNNNNNNNNNNNNNNNNNNNNNNNNNNNNNNNNNNNNNNNNNNNNNNNNNNNNNNNNNNNNNNNNNNNNNNNNNNNNNNNNNNNNNNNNNNNNNNNNNNNNNNNNNNNNNNNNNNAAUUCGGAUUGGAGCCUACCACUGUGACAUUUAAUACCUUAAUUAAUGGGCUUUGUAUGGAGGGUAAAAUCGAUAAAGCAGUGGAAUUUUUCGAUGAUAUGGUUGCACGUGGUUAUCAACCUGAUGUUCGUACUUUCACUGUGAUAGUAAACGGAAUGUGUAAAUUUGGGAAUACAAAUGUGGCUUUUGGGCUACUAAAGGGAAUGGCUGAUAGAGGUUGUGAGCCAAAUGUUGUGACAUACAAUGCAAUCAUUGACGCCCUUUGCAAAGAUGAGCUAGUUGGUGAGGCUUUAGAGCUCUUCUCUCAAAUGAGGAAUAAGGGCAUUUCACCUGAUGUCAUCACUUACACUGGUUUAAUUUACGGUGUUUGCAAAUUAGGCCAAAAGAACCAAGCUUUGGCCUUGAUGAAUGAAAUGGUGGAGCAGAACAUAUCACCUGAUGUUUAUACCUUCAAUGUAUUGAUUGACGCUCUUUGUAAGGAUGGAAUGGUUUCAGAGGCUCAAAAUACAUUCAAUAUAAUGAUUCAAAGAGGUGUAGAGCCUAAUGUGGUCACCUACACUUCCUUAAUUGAUGGUCUUUGCAUUUCAGACCAAUUCAAGGAAGCUUUUGCCUUGUUGAAAGAAAUGGUGGGGAGGAACAUAUCCCCUAAUGUUUUUACCUUCAAUAUAUUGAUCGACACUCUUUGUAAGAAAGGACUGGUUUCAAAUGCACAGAUUAUAAUCAAAAUAAUGAUUCAAAGAGGUGUGGAGCCUAAUACUGUCAAUUAUAAUUCAUUGAUGGAUGGUUAUUGUCUUUGCAAGCAAAUUGAUAAGGCUAGAAAGCUAUUUGAUCUGAUGGUGACCAAUGAAAUAGCUGACAUUUUUAGCUACAGCAUUUUGAUCAAUGGAUAUUGUAAGUGCAAAAUGAUAGAUGAUGCAAAGGAUAUUUUUGUUGAAAUGUCUCAUAAAGGUUUAGUUCCUGAUGCUGUUACUUAUCAUACUCUUAUAAAGGGUAUGUUUCAAGCAGGAAGGCCCCAAAAUGCAAAAGAGCUCUUUAGGAAUAUGUGCUCUCAUGGUCAACAGCCAAAUAUAGUAACCUUCUCAAUUAUGAUUAAUGGCUUGUGUAGUCAGGGGAAUCUGGAUGAAGCACUCACCCUAUUGAAAGAAAUGGAGGAAAGUCGGUUGAAGCCUGAUCUUGUGACCUAUUGCAUUCUGAUCAAUGGUAUGUGCAAAGUUGGGAAGAUUAAUGAUGCCAAGGAACUUUUUUCUAGUCUUUUUGAAAUUGGUUUACAACCUGAUGUUUAUGUAUAUAAUGCAAUUAUGAAAGGACUCUGCCAACAAGGACUAAUGGACGAAGCGUAUAAGGUAUUUAGAGACAUGGAAAAGGGAGGAUGUUUACCGAAUAAUUGUUGUUAUAAUAUCAUCAUUCAAGGGUUUCUCAAGCAUGAGGAUUUACCAAAAGCAUCAGAACUAAUCAACGAAAUGGUUGAUAAGGGGUUCUCUGCUGAUGAUGCUAACACAGCAUUGGUAGUACAUUUAUCGCGGAAUAAUGAUCUCAUUCUGAGGCUUUUAAAGGUGCGCAAUGAGGGAUCAGCAAACUAAAGUUGUUAUAUCUUGACCAUUCAAGUUGUCUUGGAGCGCAACUUGGUAAUUACCUUUUUCAAAUAUAAUAGAUAUGUAAUUUAACUAACUUCUUCAAAUAUCAUUUUUAAUUUCAAUCAGCUGUGAUUCUCUUCCACAAAAUAAAAAUUUCUAACACGGCAAAUGACCUGUGGUGGAAACCAUGACAUGUGUGUGCCUUUCGCUUGAAUUCAGACAUGGACUUGAUCUCUUUGAGAUAAGAUUGUUGAUGAAUGGAGGUCAUGGAUUUCUAAUGAUCAAGUUGCUGGUAAACCCACCAUCUCCUUACAAUUUUUUAUUGGCUGCUACUACAGCCUCAACUGGAGAGCUCAGUCCUAAAAUUGAGUUGAGAACUAAAACUAAUUGGUUCCAUACUACAAUGCUUAAGAAUCUUUAUCUAUUUUUAUUUUUGUGCUCAAUGACCUUUUAAAAUGCUAUCAUUUCUCUUGUAGGUACUUGCAAGGAUAUGAUUACAACUUCACCUUUCUAACAAUAAAAAAGGUCUAAGCAAUUCUUUUUUGCUUAAUUAUUAUUCUAUUUUUAAUAAUUUUGAAAAUAAUGAUUAUAAAUCAGUGUGCUUUAAUUGAGAAUUGAUUUAACAAUUAGACUACACUAUAAAUGCAGGGUGCAGGAUAUACGGUCCCAGAGUACAAGGUAAGAGAAUCACUACACAUCUACAGCUGUUGGUUGGAUGAAAUGUCACUAAAAUUAUACACAACCGAAAAUGUUAUGGGAAUUGGGGAAAGGCAAACAUCCUCUUUGUNNNNNNNNNNNNNNNNNNNNNNNNNNNNNNNNNNNNNNNNNNNNNNNNNNNNNNNNNNNNNNNNNNNNNNNNNNNNNNNNNNNNNNNNNNNNNNNNNNNNNNNNNNNNNNNNNNNNNNNNNNNNNNNNNNNNNNNNNNNNNNNNNNNNNNNNNNNNNAUAUAUAUAUAUAUAUAUAUAUAGAUCCUUAAUUUCUUUUAUUUUCCUUCAAGUCAAAUUAGUGAAAUCAUUGCAUUAGCAUCUAAUAAUAUGAAGUUCACAAUCUUUUCCAAUGAAAUCAAUUUUUUAACAUGAAAAUUUGAAUUUUAGAAAUGUUUGUGGAAGGUAUAUAUAUUCUUCCCUUCGAGAUUCUUUAUUUUGUGCCAAGUUGAUUGGAUGUACUGUUUGAAAUGUUAGUUAAGUUAGGCAAGAAAAGUUGUUUUGGUUGUUUCUUUUCUCCUUUCAGCAGUAUAUAAUGAGACAUCUUAUGUUUUUACCACUUUCUAAUAUACUACUCAAUAAAAUUUUCUUUGGGCUCUUGUUUGUACAUGGUAUUUUUCUUUUUGCUUGAUGAUUCUUGAAGUUUUUGUGACUGCAUCCAUGGGAAUUGGUUUGUUAGGGAAGGUGGGGCUGACAGGGUACAUAUUGAGAGGUAGGAAACCAAUUGCAAAAUGAUUCAGAUCCUUUUACUCUUCAAAACUCAGAUAAUCCAAGUAGAAUUCUCAUAUCUGCACCGUUAAAUUAAGUAUAAAGAAUAUAUAGUUAAAAAGAUAAAUCUAUUUAUAUCCAUUUAAUUUUAAUUUUUUUUUAUCCGUUUGUAAAUUUAUUUUUUUUAUAGUGCUAGAGGUUUAAUAAGUUGGAGAGAGCAGGGCUCACAGCAGCCUCACUCUCUUGUAACCAUUCAAAGACUCGAGUCAUAUCAGUGGCGUUAAUAGCAUCUCUUGAUAUGUCACCUCUCUAGAAAAUUUGAACCCAUCCUAAAAAAAAAAGCAAGCAAACCACCGCACUUUCAGUGGCCGGAAGAGUGAUAUCACAUCUAUGAAUUGACUUAAACCAAGACUGGUCUUUAAAAUACUCUCACCAUGAAGCUCUAAAUUUACAACUGCAAAAGUAAAAAUAGAAAAACACAAUAUUUUCACCCCAGCCAUAGAGACAAGGAGAGUAAACCCAUAUCCAAGACUCGAGGAAGCCAUCCCUUAAAAGGAACAGGGAACGGUUGCAGGACUAACCAUUAGUAGAGAAACAAGGUUUGCCCUCAGAAGUAAACAGGCAGAGAUAAAGCACUCUCUCUUUAACUUUCACGGCUCUUAUUCAAAAAUUUGAUUUCAAAUUAUAAAAAUAUGCUUUUAUAUUAUAGCAAUUCUUAUCUAAACCAGCUUAACAUUAACUUAAAAUAUAAAUAUAUAAGAUUUUUCUUACAUUAGGUUUACAUAACUAUUUUUUUAUAUAUUAAAUAUACCCUUAAUUAAAAUGAUUUUUUUUCUAUUACAUGAAAAUAUAUUUGCACCUAUUUUCAAAUAAAACUUUAAUAUAAUUAAAAUAAACUAUGUUUGCCUUUGGUUAACAUACCAUUCACUCAUAUUACUCCUUAAAUAUUAAAGAACUCAUACUAUUAGAAGAUUUUUAAAAUCAGUAAAUUUUACUUUUUUUCAAUAGAUAUUAAAUAGAAUAUAUUAAUAAACUAAUAAAUAAAUCAUCAUAUACAAGUUCAUAUAAUUUAACAUUACACUGCUGAUUGCAACUACUUAGCUCCAUAACGCCAUUCUCUAAAACCCCAACUCUCACACCCAACCCUCUGCAAUAAACACAGAAACAAAACCUCAUCUCUCUCUCUCUCUCUCCCCUCAAAAGAAAAUCAAUAUAUAAUAUGUAAGUGAUCAAGUGAUUGAUUAUGGACAUCAUAGAUCUAACAGAAAAUUAUACCUUGCAAUUCACCCCCACAAAAAUAUUUUCCCGGCAAAGAACGAUCAUUCGAGCCGCUGUGUAUUCGAGCUCUCCAAUGACCACAGCUUGAAGUUACUUCAUUGUCUUGUUAGUGAAUGAUCAAGUAAUUCUUGAGAAGCAUUACCUCUUCUGGUUGGUAUUAAUUUUGUUGAGAAGCAAGCCAGGCAUCUCAUCAAUAAUGGCGAUUUACGCUUAUAGGAACGCGCUGAGCAGCUUCGCUACUGUUUCCGAACCAUUCACUGUUAUAAGAAGACCAAAGAGAAAGUCCACUUUUGUAUGAUAAGCUGUCAAUGAGAAAAUGAUCCUGAAUUCCUAUUCGUUGCCUCGGUGUGCUCAUCGACCUCGCCUUUGCCUUUGCAGAUUCUGUUGCAGCCAUGUAAGUUGGGAAAACAGGAGAAUUCAGUGCAGAACUGUCAUCUCCUGUAGUAUUCCGUUGUGUCCGACAAAAUGAUCUUCUUGGAAAUGACACUGGUGAACUCAAUGCUUCUAUGUUAUCUCGUUUCCGUGAACUCAUUUUCACUUGUGUUGUACCAAAUAUGUCACUUGCUUUCAGAUUCUCUAUCCGUUCUCUAGCCAAUUCUUCCAGCCAGUGUCUCUGUCUAUCAGGUUCAUUCUUGGCUAUUGAUUCUUCCAGUACAUAGAUAAGAAAGUAAAAAAGAGAUGUUUUUUUAAGAAUAUAAUCUUCGUUAUAUUAAUCUUCACAGUACACACAUGAUUUAAAUAAGAGAAUUGAUAACUAAAGUUGCCUAUUGAAUAGGAGAGAAUAAUGGAAAAAUAUCAUCAGUAAGUGAAUGAAUCACCCUAAGAAUCCUAAUCACAAGACUCAUUCAAUUGUAUAAUAUUUACAAAAUUAACACUUAUCACUCCAAUACUCAAGCCUUAGCACAGCAGCCUUAUUACUCCUGAGAGGUGGAACCAUUCUUAUGACUCCCUGAACUAGUAUCCCCCCUCAAAUUGUGUCCAGAAUGGAGACAGAGUUUGCGUCGAAAUUGUGCUAGACGAGUUUUUGUCAUUGACUUUGUAAAUAUAUCAGCAACUUGAUAUGCUGAGGGAAUGUAUCUCGUGAUCAGAACUCCUUGAGCAACGCGUUCUCUGACAUAGUCUAUAAAUCUUGAUUUUGGAUCAGUUACCAACACUCAAUAAAGUCUAUAAAUCUAUAUGCAGCCACUGAGUGUGUUGAUGGACAAGCAACUGCAAUUGGUCCUACUAGGGAUUGGAAUGCUAAUUUAGCUUCAGGUAUUUAACAGGACUUUUUGUCCAAAUGUAUUUAUGAACAAGUUCAUAAAAGGCAGGUUAGCUCUAUAUAUAACACAAGUAUAAUCUUGCAAUAUACUUGAUAAAAUUUUCUUUGAGCUGUUAUUUACACACCACCUGCAGUAGGUAUCCAGUCUUAAAUUAGUUAGAUAUUCAAUAAAAGGACUUUUUAUAUGAUUCCAAUAAUUCUCUACAUAAUAUGUUCCUUAAAACAAAAUUUGAUUCAAUUUAUUUUAACACCAUAAUUCUUUAUAAAAAAAAUAGCUACAAAAUUUCUUACAGUUAGUAAUUUAAUGGUCAUGGUCAGUAAACGGUCAGUAACUUAUUUUACAAAUCACUUUUUCCAUAAUUUGAUCAGUUAACAUGAUUUCUUCUGGUGCGUUAUUAUUUAUAAAUACUAAUAAUUACAUUGUAAAAUUUAUAAUUUAUUUUUAUUAAUAUAAUUUAUUUAAUUAAUUUAUAAUAUAAUAUUUUAAUUUACAUUUAAAAUUCACAUGUUCACGUCUAUUUUAAUGGAUUAAAAAAUUAUACAAAUAUAUAUUAUUUAAAAUAUUUCAAUUUAAUUUGUUCGAUUAAUUUACUAUUUUAAUUUAAUUUAUGUUCUAUUAACAAAUAUAAUAUUAAACUUUUAAUAGAUUAAAUAUUUUAUUAAAACUAUUAUAUGUUUUAAUAAUUUACUUAUAUUAAGGUUAGUAAUUAGAUAUAUUUGUCUAUACUAUAAAAUCUCAAUAUCAUACAAUACAUUAUUAAUAAAUAUACUACAUAAUUAGUUCAGGCGAGAAAGUGGGCAACAUGCUACAAACUAUAAUUCUUGCUAAGAAUUAGAAUUAAAUUAAAUUUGUAAUACUUUAAUAUAAAGAAAAACUAUAGUUCUUACUAAGAAUUAGAACCAAAUCAAAUUUUUAAUACUUUAAUGCAUUUCAAACUAAAUUUCGGUAUAGUUCUAAUACGAUUCUAAGUAAUUUUAGUACUAUCUCAAUUUGAUUUUAAUUUUUUUAUUUUAAUUUUAUUUCAAUUUAAAUUUUAAUUUUUACAAAUAAAAUCAUAAUAGCUUUUACGCAUAUUUUNNNNNUACAACUCUUGAUAAGAAUAUUUUAUUAUUUUAUGUAGUUAUUAAUUAUAUAAUUUUAAUUAAAAAAUGUAUGAAAUUAAUAUAUAAAUAUAUAUUAUAUUACUAAUAAUACAUUUAUAAUUGAUAUAAAAAAAGGAUGUAUAUAUCAUUCGAGUAUAAUAAUUUUUUAAAAAAUAUAUAUAUGUUAAUGAUAAUUUUAUUAAAUAACAGAUAUUAGCAAAUAUAAUAAAAAUUUGAAUAUUUCAAUUACAGUAAAAAAAUCAACUAAAAUGAUACAUUUUCUUAAUUUUAUUUUAUUAUAAUUUUUUUAUAACUUUGAUUAAAUAUAUUCAUAUAAUAAUGUGAUAUUAAGAUAAUAGGAGCCCAAAUUUAAUAGUCUAUUUGCAAUAAUAAUAAUAAUAUAUAAAAAAAUUAAUAAAGAGAUGAAAAAAUAACGGUAAAAUAUUGUUUAGUUUAUGAAAGUGUUAAAUUUGGUUGUGGAUAAAUAGAGUGGUUUAUUGAAGAUUUUGAAAUCAAAUGGACAUUCAAAGCCGCAAUAUAAAGAUUUAUUUGGCUUUAAAGAGAGAUAAAUCAACGUCAAUCAGACUGUGUAUCUUACUAGAGGUUCUUGUAUCCCACUUCUGAUUAGAUUGAUAAGAGAAUAAGAGACAGCUGAGGUUCAAGAGGUGAUUUGUUCAGAUCACAUGGGCAACUCAUACAAAAUUAAAUAUAAAAGGAAGUUUUUUCUUAGAAAUCUGAUAUAUUUUUCUAUGCUACAAAAUCUCAGUACAAGCGAGAUAGUGGGCAACAUGCUAAAAUAAAAAGCUAUAGUUCUGAUACUUUUAUCAUCAGAUUUUACUACAAUAUAUUUUAAUCUAUUAGUAAUUUUAACAGAUUUAUUAAAAAUUUUGAAAAUCCUUCAAUAAUUCUUAAUAUAAAACAUUAUAUAAAAAUUCACCAAUAGAUUUGAAAUCUGUUGGUAAUCUACUAGUAUUACUAACAAAUUUAAAAAUUUAUUGGAAAUUUAUAAAUUUAUAAAAUAAUUGGUAUUGAUAUUUAUCAACAGACUUAAAAUUUAUUAGUAAAUCAUUAACAAUUUUAAUCUGUUAGUAAAUUUAGGGGUGGAAAUGAAACAAACCGUUUGUGACCGUUUGUGAGCUAUUCGAGAUUCGACUCGAUAAAAACUUGACCGAACUCGACUCGAUUUCUAAACGAUUCAAACUCGAACUUAAUUUUUAGGCUUGUUUAGUAAACAAGGCAAACUUAAACCAUAUAGUGUCUUGUUAAGACUCGUGAGCUCGACUUGCGUUCGAAUUUAUGAGCAGACUGGUGAAUAGUCUCGUUAAGCAGACUGAAAUUAAUAUCAUAAGAGAAAUAAAUUUAACUCCUGCAUAUAUUUUCAUGAGGCAAAUCUAAAUUUUAUAAAAUUCAAUUCUAUAUUAUUUAAUUAUACUAUUAAAACUUGCAUAUUUGGAUUAUUAAGAGCUCAUUUUUAUAAGUUUAUAAGCUAAUUUUUAUAUGUGAAAGUCAGCUGCUUGCUUGAUGUGGGACGUCCCACAUCGGCGAAGUACAAAAAAUCAAAAUUGUAUAUAAUAAUUAGUAUGAAACUACUAAAUAACUUGAGUUAACCAUUUUGAGUUAGGUGGAAACUGAAUUCCAAGUUAUUUGGGUCAAAACUACCCCUGAGUCAGAGCUAGUGGCCCUGUCACAAUACCGAAGUUGAGCUUAUUAAUACUUAACUCGUCUAAAUUCAGUUCGAGUUCGAAAUGAGUAAAACUCGAGUUUGGCUUGAACUUAAAAAAAUUUUAACGAACUAAAUUUGAACUCUUCAAAUCUCAGCUCUACUCGUCGUUUACACCCUAAGUAAAAUUUUAAAAGUGUUUAAACUACUAACGGAUUUAAAAAUCCGUUACUAAAUAUUAUCAUCAAAUUAAUAAGUAUUAAAUUUAUUAACGGAUGCUAUCCACUAAUAAAUCUUUUAAUAAAUUUAAAAUAAAAUCCUACAAAAAAUUUCUGCAUUCUUUUUUUAUAACUCAUAUUUUUCAAAUUUUAAAUCCAUUGGUAAUUUUUUGAGAGAAAAAAAAAAAUUUUUUUUCAAAAUUUAGUAACGAGUCGUAAAUUUAUUAGUAAUUCACGUUUAUAAAUAUAACACAAACUCCUCUACUUUUAUCAUUCAUUCAUUUUAUAUCAUCCACCUUUCUUUCAUUUUUUUCACUUUCUCUCAUUUUCUUUUUUUCUAUUACAUUCUUUCAUUUUAUUUUUUUAUCUCAUAAUUUUUUUUUAUUUUUCUAUUAUUUUUCUUUCCUCUCUUAUCCUAUUUUCUCAUGGUUCUCUUUUAUCUUCUAUUAUUUUUUUCAUUCUUCAUAAUUUUCCUUUCAUUUUCUCCCUUUUCUUUUCCAUAUUUUUUUUUUCCUUUCCUCUCUAUACUUUUCAUUCAUAUUAGUUUUUUUAAUAUUAUUUUCUUCUAUUAUUUUCUUUCUAUUUACAUUUUUUCUAUUAUUUUCUCUUUAUUUAUUUUCUUCUCUAAGCAUUUGUUCACUUUUUUUCAUUUUUCUAAUCAUCUUUUUACUCAACUCUCAUUCAUUCUUUUUUUUCAUAAUUUUUAUUUUUCUAUUAUUUUCUUUAUUUUUCUCUUUUUUCUUUAUUUUUUAUUAUUUUCUCUCAUUUUAUACCAUUUAUUUUUUUAUUUUCACUUUUUUAGAUAUAAAUUAAAAACUUGGUAACAAUAAUAAUAUAAUUUUAAGUCUUAUUAAAUUAAUAAAAAAUUAUUUAAACUCUCAAUAGAUAUAUUAAUGAAUUGCAAUUCAUUGAUAAUUGACUAACAGAUUUCACAUCUGUUAAUAAAUUAUUUUUCUCUUAUACUAACGAAUUUAAAAUUUAUUAAUAAUUUAAAAUCUAUUAGUAAUAAUAGCGGGAAUUCCAUUAGUAAAUCCACUAGUUUACUGACGAAAUUAAAAACUGUUGGUAAAAAUUUAAUACCGACAUUUUAAUAACGGAUCGUAAUCUAUUAGAAAUCCCUUAUUAAUUAAUUUACCAACGAAUUUUUAUUAGAUUGCUAAUGGAAAAAUCAAUGCAUUAUUAAUAUAAAUUAAGAAGUUGAUUCUUAUCUUUACAAUAAGAUAUCUUUUAAACUCUUAAAAAUUUUGAAGCUAAAAUUGAAGAAACAUUCAUGACGUUAUAUUUUUCAUUUCAUGCAAGAUGAUAUCUGUUAUUGGAAUGCAUAUGAUUAUUUUAUUGAUAUAAAAUAAGUAUAAAGAAUAUACAAUUAAAAAGAUAAUUAUACUUAUCGAUCCGUUCGUAUCAUUUAAUUUUACUGUCUCUUUAUAAAUCUAUUUAUAUCCAUUUAAUUUUAAUCUCAUAUAGGUAAAUUAUAAGAGAUGAAGAGUUCUCCUUCCUUCCCUAUAAAAAGAGAAGGCCUCUCUUCCCUUCAAUAUUAGUACCUGAUUUUUUAUAAUUUAUAAUAUAAUAUACUAUAUAUUAAAUGUAUAGAAAUAAUUUAAUUAUUAUAAAUUUAAGUUAAUAUUAUUAAUAAUAAAAUAAAAUAAUAAAUAAAAUUUAAAAUGCAAAAUAUAUUUAGUGAGUUUAACAUUUCAAAAUUUUAUUAUUUUGAAAUAAUUUUAUAUNNNNNNNNNNNNNNNNNNNNNNNNNNNNNNNNNNNNNNNNNNNNNNNNNNNNNNNNNNNNNNNNNNNNNNNNNNNNNNNNNNNNNNNNNNNNNNNNNNNNNNNNNNNNNNNNNNNNNNNNNNNNNNNNNNNNNNNNNNNNNNNNNNNNNNNNNNNNNNNNNNNNNNNNNNNNNNNNNNNNNNNNNUUUUUUCCUCAUCUAUAUUAUAUACAAUUAGACUAUAAUAAUAUUUUUAAAAAUAUACAUUGAUAAUUAUUUAUUCAAUAAGGAAUAUUAUUUAAUAAAAUAAAAAAUCAAUAUUCUACAAUUAUAUUUAUAAUAUUUUAUUUAAAAAUAUAAAGUUAACAAAAUUAAUUAAUUUUCAAAUAAAUUUAAUUAAAUAUAAGGUACGGUUAUAAUAAAAUAUUAUUUUUAUGAAAAUCAAUUUAAUUAAUUCUCUAUAUUUUUAUUAAGAAUCAAAUAAAUUUAAUUUAAAAUUUUUAAAACUUUAAGCUAAUUAAACUAUAUAAUUUUAUUAAAGGCUAAAUAGAUUCUAACUUAAAAUGAUUUUUUAAUAAUAAAAUAUUAUUUUUAUAAUUUAAAAUAUUAAAAUUUAAUAUUUUAAUUAUCAUAAAAUUUUUAAAAAUAUAUAAAUAUAAUAAAUAAUUUUUAAAAUUAUAAAAAAAAAAGUUUUAUCAUAUAAAAAUUUUUAUUAUUAAAAAAUAAUAUUAUGUUAGAUUAUGAUUUAUUUGACUUUUGAGUAAUAAUAUAGAGAUUUAAUUUAUUUAAAAUUUUGAAUUAAAAUUAUUUAACUCUUCAAUAAAAGUAGAGACUUAAUUGCAUUUAUAUUUAUAAAAUUAUUAUUAUAAAAUGAUAAAUUUAAUUUGUUAUUAAAUAAUAUUUUUAUAUGAAAAAUUAAUUAAAAAAAUUACAAAAUGUGGCGCAUAUAAACAAUUCCCAAUUUCCUUUUGUUAUCCUUACCACAUUACCAGCAGGCAGAGAGCCUUCCUUUUCCGAUUCUCUAUUUCCGUUUCUCAUUCCCAAUCUCCGAUCCAUCCCUAAAAACGACUGACAAGAGAUCGAUGAUGAUGAAGAUGCCUUGGAGGAGGAAGAGCAGGAGCUUCCAUCUUCAGCUACAAGGGGCAAUUGGUACCAUUCAAUCUCCAUUCCUAUUCUUAUUUACCAAUUAUUGUCAUUCUUCUACUUCCACACUUGAAGAUGCACGCUUCUUGACAAAUAACUUCAAAUCUGCUUCUUUUACCCACCUUGAUGAUGCCAUUGCUUCCUUCAAUCAUGUAAUUCAUAAGCAUCCUCUGCCUUCUAGGGUUCCAUUUAAUAGAUUCUUAUCUGCCCUUGUGAAAAUGAAACAAUAUCACACUGUCCUUUCCAUGUCCAAAACAAUUGAAUUGCUAGGAAUCUCUCACGAUGUUUAUUCUCUUAGCAUAUUAAUUAAUUGCUUCUGCCAUUUACACAUUGUGGAUUUUGGCUUCUCUGUUUUUGGUAAGAUGCUCAAAUUCGGAUUGGAGCCUACCACUGUGACGUUUACUACCUUAAUUAAUGGGCUUUGUAUGGAGAGUAAAAUCCAUAAAGCAGUGGAAUUUUUCGAUGAUAUGGUUGCACGUGGUUAUCAACCUAAUGUUCGUACUUUCAAUGUGAUAGUAAACGGAUUGUGUAAAUUUGGGAAAACAAACGUGGCUAUUGGGCUACUAAAGGGAAUGGCUGAUAGAGGUUGUGAGCCAAAUGUUGUGACAUACAAUGCAAUCAUUGACGCACUUUGCAAGGAUGAGCUAGUUGGUGAAGCUUUAGAGCUCUUCUCUCAAAUGAGGAAUAAGGGCAUUUCACCUGAUGUCAUCACUUACACUAGUUUAAUUCAUAGUGUUUGCAAAUUAGGCCAAAAGAACCAAGCUUUGGCCUUGAUGAAUGAAAUGGUUGAGUGGAACAUAUUACCAAAUGUUUAUACCUUCAAUGUAUUGAUUGAUGCUCUUUGUAAGGAUGGAAUGGUUUCAGAGUCUCAAAAUACAUUCAAUGUAAUGAUUCAAAGAGGUGUAGAGCCUGAUGUGGUCACAUACAAUUCCUUAAUUGAUGGUCUUUGCAUUUCAGACCAAUUCAAGGAAGCUUUGGCCUUGUUGAAACAAAUGGUGGGGAGGAAUAUAUCCCCUGAUGUUUUUACCUUCAAUAUAUUGAUCGACACUCUUUGUAAGAAAGGACUGGUUUCAAAUGCACAGAAUAUAAUCAAAAUAAUGAUUCAAAGAGGUGUGGAACCUGAUGUUGUCACUUAUAAUUCAUUGAUGGAUGGAUAUUGUCUAUGCAAGCAAAUUGAUAAGGCUAGAAAGGUAUUUGAUCUGAUGGUGACCAAUGAAAUAGCUGACAUUUUAGGCUACAGCAUUUUGAUCAAUGGAUAUUGUAAGUGCAAAAUGAUAGAUGAUGCAGAGGAACUUUUUGAUGAAAUGUCUCAUAAAGGUUUAGUUCCUAAUGUUGUUACUUAUCAUACUCUUAUAAAGGGUAUGUUUCAAGCAGGGAGGCCCCAAAAUGCAAAAGAGCUUUUUAAGGAUAUGUGCUCUCAUGGUCAACAGCCAGAUAUAGUAACCUUCUCAAUUAUGAUUGAUGGCUUGUGUAGACAGGGGAAUCUCGAUGAGGCACUCGCACUAUUGAAAGCAAUGGAGAAAAGUCGGUUGAAGCCUAAUGUUGUGAUCUAUAGCAGUCUGAUCAAUGGUAUGUGCAAAGUUGGGAAGAUUAAUGAUGCCAAGGAACUAUUUUCUAGUCUUUUUGAAAUUGGUUUACAACCUGAUGUUUAUGUAUAUAGCGCAAUUAUGAAAGGACUCUGCCAACAGGGAUUAAUGGAUGAAGCGUAUAAGGUAUUUAAAGACAUGGAAAAGGUAGGAUGUUUACCAAAUAAUUGUUGUUAUAAUAUCAUCAUUCAAGGGUUUCUCAAGCAUGAGGAUUUACCAAAAGCAUCAGAACUAAUCAACGAAAUGGUUGAUAAGGGGUUCUCUGCUGAUGCUGCUACCACAGAAUUGGUAGUACAUUUAUUGCGGAAUAAUGAUCUCAUUCUGAGGCUUUUAAAGGCGCGCAACUAGGGAUUAGCAAACUAAAGUUGUUAUAUCUUGACCAUUCAAGUGUAUCUUGGAGCGCAACUUGGUAAUUACCUUUUUCAAAUAUAAUAGAUAUGUAAUUUAACUGACUUCCUCAAAUAUCAUUUUUAAUUUCAAUCAGCUGUGAUUCUCUUUCACAAAAUGAAAAUUUCUAACACCGCAAAUGACCUGUGGUGGAAACCAUGAUAUGUGUGUGCCUUUCGCUUGAAUUCAGAUAUGGACUUGAUCUCUUUGAUAUAAGAUUGUUGGAGAAUGGAGGUCAUGGAUUACUAAUGAUCAAGUUGCUGGUAAACCCACCAUCUCCUUUACAAUUUUAUUUUUGGUUGCUACUACAGCCUUAACUCGAGAGCUCAGUCCUAAAAUUGAGUUGAGAACUAAAACUAAUUGGUUUCAUACUACAAUGCUUAACAAUCUUUAUCUAUUAUUAUUUUUGUGCUCAAUGACCUUUUAAAAUGCUAUCAUUUCUCUUGUAGGUACUUGCAAGGAUAUGAUUAGAACUUCACCUUUUUAACAAUAAAGGUGUAAGCAAUUCUUUUUGCUGAAUUAUUAUAUUUUUAAUAAUAAUGAAAAUAAUGAUUAUAAACCAGUGUGCUUUAAUUGAGAAUUGAUUUAACAAUUAGACUACCCUAUAAAUGCAGGGUGCAAGAUACAGUACCAGAGUACAAGGUAAGAGAAUCACUAGACUUCUACGGCUGUUGGUUGGAAUAAAUGUCACUAAAAGUAUAGACAACAGAAAAUGUUAUGGGAAUUGAGGGAAAAGCAAAAAAAGACUAUGAAAAUCAGACAUAUGCAGCCACUGAGACAAGCAACUGCAAUUGGUCCUACUAGAGAUUGAAAUGCUAGUUUAGCUUCAGCUAUUUAACAGGACUUUUUGUCCAAAUUUAUUUAUGAACAAGUUCAUAAAAGGCAGGAUAGCUCUAUAUAUAACUCAGCUAUAAUCAAAGAAGGUGGCAGGAAAAAUGUCAAUACAAUGAAACUUCAUCUGAUUAAAUGGAAUACUCUUUGGUUGCCUAAAAAGAAUGGAGGCUUAGGCAUGAAAGAGAUCUGUCUUCAAAUUCAAGCUCUUUUGUUCAAAUGGCUUUGGAGAUUUGGAAAUCAUAGGGAUUCACUCUGAGUUCAACUUCUUCUAUCCAAAUAUUCUUUCAAUUUGGAGAAGGGUAUCUCUCUUGCUCCAGGAAAUUGCAUUUCUUCCCUUCAGAAAGACAUUCGAGGGUAUGCUACUUUCGAUGAACUCUUUCUCCUCUCCUUGAAUUCAUAUCAGAUUUGCUGUGGGGAAUGAGAUGAAAAUGAAAUUUUGGAAUGAGAGACGAUCGGUUGGUAAUAUUGCUCUCAAAUUCUCCUUUAGCAGACUAUUAAAUUUAGCUGCUAACCUAGAUGUGUUGAUGUUAAAUACGGGCUGUUGGGUGAAGAGCAAAUGGGAAUGGGAAAUAAUUGAAUUGUCAAUAUUAUACUUAAUCUUUUAUAUUAUUUCUAAUAAUAUAUUUUAUUAUUUAAAUAAAUUUAUUUUAGAGUUUUUAUGAAUUUAAAAUUUUAAGUUCCAUAAAUAAAUGUGGCAAUAUUUAUGUAAGAUUGUAAAUUCAAUAUUUUUUAAAAAGGUAGUUUUAGAAAAAAUAAAAUCGAUUUUGUAAACAACUUUUAAAAAAUGGAAAACCCAAUUACUUUAAAAAUAUCCAUUUCCAUAUAAAUUUAAUUAAAAAAUAAAUAUUUGCUUCUUUUUUUUUUAACUUUCAUUCCCCAUUAUUAUUUAUAAAUACUAAUAAUUACAUUGUAAAAUUUAUAAUUUAUUUUUAUUAAUAUAAUUUAUUUAAUUAAUUUAUGAUAUAAUAUUUUAAUUUGCAUAUAAAAUCCACAUGUUCACUACUAUUUUAAUGGAUUAAAAAACUAUAUAAAUAUACAUUAUUUAAAAUAUUUGAAUUUGAUUUGUUCAAUUAAUUUACUAUUUUAAUUUAAUUUAUGUUCUAUUAACAAAUAUAAUAUUAAAAUUUUCAUAGAUUGAGUAUUUUAUUAAAACUAUUAUAUAUUUUAAUAAUUUACUUAUAUUAAGACUAUUAUUAAUUAUUAAAAUUCUAAUACUAUUAAAAUAAAAAAUUUUAUUUUUUUUAAUAAGAGUACAGUUUUGUGAAUAAUAUUUUUUAUAUAUUAAAAUAAAAUUAUAAAUAAAAUAAUUAAAAAUAAAUAUUAUACAUGUUAAAAAAUUAAUAAUUAUUAAAAUUUGAAUAAUUAAUAUUAUUAAAAUACAAAUGGAAUUUAUAAAUAAUUAAUUUAGUGUGAAUAUUUCAUAUAAUUUGUGAUAAUCUAUCCCAUUUCAAACUCCUAACAAAAAAAUCUACUGACCUAUAAACUAAAUCUGCCAUCUUAAGAAACUUAAAACCAUAAAACCAAGAAAUUUUAUUUAUUCUCAGAAUUAUAAACUUAACCAUCACUUAAUUACCAUAUUUACCGAUUAACAUUAAUAAAUUAAAAUGAAAAUAAUUACAUAAUUAAUAAAAAUUCUUCUUCACUGCUUUAAUUUGCAAUUUUUUUUAAAACCAAUUAAUAAACUAAUCCAGCUAAAAAAUUUUAUUUAAUGCUAAAAAUCUAAAUUUUAUCAGAAAAAUCUAAUCUUUAUCCAUAUAUAUAAAUUGAAUCCCAAUUACUCUUCUCUCCUAUAAAAUUUCCUUUUGAGUUUUCUCACUCUCAAACAUUUUCUUAACUUAGAAAAUUUUAAUCAAUAAUGCCAUCGUGGAGAGCUUCUAACAUGAAAAUGGAUUCUCGCUCGAAAAUUUUAGGUCAACGACAUGUAACCAAGUCAUCUUUUUCCUACAAGUUACUUUCUAGUUCGACUGAUCAAAAAACUAAAAUACCGCAAAUUCAAAAGGGUUAUGUAGCAAUAUACGUGGGUGACGAGAGAAAGAGAUAUCAAGUUCUAAUAGAGAAUCUAGAGUUUUCGACAUUACAAGAACUUAUUAAACAGUCUCACGAUAGUGAUUUCGACUCCAAGAUUGAUGGACCAAUCGUGCUUACUUGCACUACUGAUAGGUUUGAUGAACUCCUGAAAUUUAUAAAUGGUUGACAUAUAAAACUUUAGAGAGUUUUAAAUAAUUAUUUUUUAUAUGUUUAAAUUACUAAUAAAUCCUUAUAUUUUAUCAAAAUUAGCUAUUUAAUCCCUAUUUUCAAAUCAUUAAAUUAAAACAUUUUGAAUUUUAUAAAGUCAAACUCUUUGAUAUUCUUAACGAAUAAAAUAUUAGUAAAUAUAUUUUUAAUUUUAAUUAGAAAAAUUAAAUUAUAUAUAUAAUUAAAAAAUAAAUAAAUAAUAUAAAAAUUUAUUUUAAUCGAAUAACAUAAAAAUAAAAAAUUAAAUAGUCAAUUUUGAUAAAAUAUAAUAACCAAAUAAUAAUUCAGACCCUUCAUGGCAAUUUCUCAGUAAUUUUAUCGAUUAUAUCUACCAUUUAUAUACCUCCUUUUUCAAGUUUUAUUUUUUCUAUCAUUGAUUUUUGUCAAUUUUUUAUUAUUUUAUCCGAUUUAAAUAAAUAACUUCUAUUUUAUUAUUUUAUUAAUUUUUUUAUUAUUAUUCUAAAGUUAUUGUUCACUUUCUUUCAUUAUAAUAAUAUAUAAUUGACUAUUAUAAUCUUAUUUAAUUUUAUAUUAUUUUCAAAUUAAUCUAUCAUUGAUUAUUAUUUUUUCAAAUAAGUAUUCAAAAUAUUUCUUAAUAUUUAAUAAAAUUUAAUAUUUUUAAAAUAGUAUAAUUGAAAAUUUUAUAAAAUAAAUUAUUUUUUAAUAUGUGUGAAAAAUUUAUAUUCAGAAAAUAAAUUUUUAUUAAAAAAUAAAUAAACUAUUAUAAUUAAAUCAUCAUUAUUUUCAUCUAUUUUUCACUCAUUAAAAUAUAUUUUUAAUGAUAUCAUUAUUAAUAUUUGUAAAUAUAUUUUUUAAUAUAAGUUAUCCAUCAAUUAUUUAUGAUUUAUUAUUGUAGAGUUGAUUUUUAAUUAUAUUUACUGUAAAAAAAAAAUCUUUUCACUAUUGUUAAAACAUGUAAAUUUAUAAAAAAAUUAUAAAAAUAAUAUAAUAUUUUAAUACAGGAUUUACUAUUAAAAUUUAUUUUUUUAAAAAAAAAAUUUAACUCAUUAAAAUUUAUUUUUGUAUAAUUUUAAUUUUAUAAAUAGAUUAAUAACAAAGUAAGAUAAAUAAAAAAAAUUAUAAUUUAAUAAUAAAAAUAGUAUUAUAAAAAUAAAUUAAAUAAUGAGUGAAUAACUUAAAAAAAAAAUUAAGUGGAGAUUUGAAUUUGAAAUCUUAAAAAUGAAAAGUAAAUUUUUUGAAUUGAAAAAUAAUAUAGAAGAUGAGAGAUUAAAUAAUAAAAAUUUCUUUGAUAAAUAUAUUAAAUAAUUUAAAAUUAUAAAAUAUAAUUAUAAUUUAAUUAAAUAAUUUUGAAAUAAGGUCGAAUUGGUAAAUUUUUAAAAUAUAUAAAAAUUUAAUAAUAAUUUUUCAUAUUUUAAGAAAAAUUAUCUAUACACCUUAAAAAAAUUUCAAAAAUUUCAAAAGGCUUAGGAGUCUGUCAAUGUGCACUAUCUUGCUAUUCGUUUGACACCAAACCCUUAGAUAAAGGUAAUAUAGAAAUUAAAACUUUAUUUAUUUCAUAAAAAAUAUUUUAUAAAAAAUAUUACACGUAUAGUUUUAAUAAUAAUAAAAAAAACAGCUAAUUUAGGGGUUAAGUGUCACUUUAUAAUUUUUGUGUUUUUAUUUUUCUAAAAACUAAUUAUAUAAAAAUAAAUAUAAAUUUUUUAUAUAAUAAUAAGAAAUAAUAUAAAUUUUUAAAAUAUGAUAUUUAAUAGCAAAAUAAUAAUUUUUAAAAUAAUAAAAUUUUAAAUUUUAUAAAAAAAUUCACUGAUUGCCCACAUAUAUAUAUAUAUAUAUAUAAAUUGAAUUCCAAUUACUCUUCUCUACUAUACAAUUUUUUUUCGAGUUUCUCACUCUUAAAUCUUUUAUUAAUUUAAAAAAAUUUUACCAAUAAUAUCAAGGCGGGAGCUUUUUAGCAGGAAAAUGAAAUCUCUUUUUAAGAUUUUAGACACCGUUAUACAAUUAAGUCAUAUUUUUCUUAUAAAUUACUCUCAAGUUUGACUAAUUAGAAAGCUAAAAUUCCACAAAUUUAAAUAGGCUAUGUAGCCAUAUACAUAAAUUUUGAAGGUAAGAGAUAUCAAAUUUCAGUAGUGAAUCUGAAGUUUCCAGUAUUACAAGAACUGAUUAAACAGUCUUAAAACAGUAAUCUCGACUCCAAGAUUGAUAACCAAUCGUACUUGCUUGCACUACUGACAAAUUUAAUGAACUACUGAAAUUUAUAGAGGUUAUCAUAUGAAACUUUAGAGAGUUUUAAAUAAUUCUUUUUUAUAUGUUUAAAUUACUAAUAAGUCCUUCCAUUUUAUUAAAAUUAAUCAUUCAAUCUCUAUUUCUAAAUUAUUCAUUUAAAAUAUUUUAAAUUUUAUAAACUCAAAUUCUUUAAUAUUUUUAUCUAAUAAAAUAUUAGUAAAUAUAUUUUUAGCUUUAAUUAGAAAAAAUUAAAUUAUAUAUAAUAUAAAAUUUUAUUUUAACCAAAUGACAAAAUUAAAAAAUUAAACGGUCAAUUUUGACAAAAUAUAAAAGUCAAAUAAUAAUCCACUCUUUUCUAUCUUAAAUUAAUUUUUUGGGUACUUCAUGGAAAAUUCUCAAUAAUAAUCUACUCUUUUAUAUAAAAAUAUUAAUAAAUUAUGUUUACACAACAUAUCAUAGAAAUUAGAUAAUAAAUUUUACUUAUAAAAAAAUUUAAAAUAUUUUUAAUACGGAUAAACUAAUUAAUAAAUAUUUUUAUAAAACUAAAAAAUUAAUUAAUAAAUUUUUAAUAUCAUAAAAACUAAAUAAUAAAAUGUUUAAUAAUUAAAACUAAUAAAAUGACUAAUUAAUAUAUUUUUUAAAAUUUAAAGGAUUUUUUAUUUUAUUUUUCAAAAUUAAUUAAUAAAUUUUUUUAUAUUAAAUAAUAAUUUUUUAUAAUAAUAAAAUAAAGAUAUAUUUUAUAAAUUAAUUAAAUAAAUAUUUAUUUAAUAAUAUGAAUUUGACUGAUGAAAUAAAAUUUUAAAAUUUUUAACGAUAAUUUAAUAAAAGUUAUAUAUAUAUAAAAAAAAAAAUCGCAAUGACAAUAAACAUAUUCUUAACUUUUCUCGUUAAUGGCACGUAUAUAACUAUUAAUAAUAUAAGGUUUUAAAGUGAAAAUACAUAUUUUCUCCAAAUGUCAUAUAGGAAAAAGAAGAAAUGAAAUAUCACUUAAAAUUAUUAUAAAUUAAUAAAUAAUAUAACUUAUAAAUUAUAUAAAUUUACUGUGAGUAGAAAUUGAACUUGUUAUGUAUUUAAUUAUUAUCAUAUUUUAAAUUUAUUAUACAAGAAAAUAAUAAUUUUUUAUUUAAUAAUAACUUUUAUUGUUAUUAAAUUUUUUUUAUCACUAUAUUAAUUAUUAUUAUAUAAAUUUAAUUUGUUAUUAAAUAAUAUUUUUAUAUGAAAAAUUAAUAAAAAAAAUACAAAAUGUGGUGCAUAUAAACAACUAGUAACGCAUUUCCUUUUGUUAUCCUUACCACUUUACCAGCUGGCAGAGAGCCUUCCUUUUCCGAUUCUCUAUUUCCUUUCCUCAUUCCCAAUCUCCGAUCCAUCCCUAAAAACAACUGAGGAGAGAUCGAUGAUGAUGAAGAUGCCUUGGAGGAGGAAGAGCAGGAGCUUCCAUCUUCAGCUACAAGGGGCAAUUGGUACCAUUCAAUCUCCAUUCCUUUUCUUAUUUACCAAUUAUUGCCAUUCUUCUACUUCCACACUUGAAGAUGCACGCUUCUUGACAAAUAACUUCAAAUCUGCUUCUUUUACCCACCUUGAUGAUGCCAUUGCUUCCUUCAAUCAUGUAAUUCAUAAGCAUCCUCUGCCUUCUAGGGUUCCAUUUAAUAGAUUCUUAUCUGCCCUUGUGAAAAUGAAACAAUAUCACACUGUCCUUUCCAUGUCCAAAACAAUUGAAUUGCUAGGAAUCUCACACGAUGUUUAUUCUCUUAGCAUCUUAAUUAAUUGCUUCUGCCAUUUACACCUUGUGGAUUUUGGCUUCUCUGUUUUUGGUAAGAUGCUCAAAUUGGGAUUGGAGCCUAACAUUGUGACAUUUACGACCUUAAUUAAUGGGCUUUGUAUAGAGAGUAAAAUCGACAAAGCAGUGGAAUUUUUCGAUGAUAUGGUUGCACGUGGUUAUCAACCUGAUGUUCGUACUUUCAAUGUGAUAGUAAACGGAAUGUGUAAAUUUGGGAAAACAAAUGUGGCUAUUGGGCUACUGAAGGGAAUGGCUGAUAGAGGUUGUGAGCCAGAUGUUGUGACAUACGGAGCAAUCAUUGACGCCCUUCGCAAGGAUGAGCUAGUUGGUGAGGCUUUAGAGCUCUUCUCUCAAAUGAGGAAUAAGGGCAUUUCACCUGAUGUCAUCACUUACACUGGUUUAAUUCACGGUGUUUGCAAAUUAGGCCAAAAGAACCAAGCUUUGGCCUUGAUGAAUGAAAUGGUGGAGCAAAACAUAUUACCAGAUGUUUAUACCUUCAAUGUAUUGAUUGACGCACUUUGUAAGGAUGGAAUGGUUGCAGAGGCUCAAAAUACAUUCAAUGUAAUGAUUCAAAGAGGUGUAGAGCCUGAUGUGGUCACCUACAAUUCCUUAAUUGAUGGUCUUUGCAUUUCAGACCAAUUCAAGGAAGCUUUGGCCUUGUUGAAAGAAAUGGUCGGGAGGAACAUAUCCCCUAGUGUUUUUACCUUCAAUAUAUUGAUCGACACUCUUUGUAAGAAAGGACUGGUUUCAAAUGCACAGAAAAUAAUCAAGAUAAUGAUUCAAAGAGGUGUGGAACCUGAUGUUGUCACUUAUAAUUCAUUGAUGGAUGGAUAUUGUCUGUACAGGGAAAUUGAUAAGGCUAGAAAGGUAUUUGAUCUGAUGGUGACCAAUGAAAUAGCUAACAUUUUUAGCUACAGCAUUUUGAUCAAUGGAUAUUGUAAGUGCAAAAUGAUAGAUGAUGCAAAGGAACUUUUUGAUGAAAUGUCUCUUAAAGGUUUAGUUCCUAAUGUUGUUACUUAUUCUACUCUUAUAGAGGGUAUGUUUCGAGCAGGGAGGCCCCAAAAUGCAAAAGAGCUUUUUAAGGAUAUGUGCUCUCAUGGUCAACAGCCAGAUAUAGUAACCUUCUCAAUUAUGAUUGAUUGCUUGUGUAGACAGGGGAAUCUCGAUGAGGCACUCACACUAUUGAAAGCAAUGGAGAAAUGUCAGUUGAAGCCUAAUGUUGUGAUCUAUAGCAGUCUGAUCAAUGGUAUGUGCAAAGUUGGGAAGAUUAAUGAUGCCAAGGAACUUUUUUCUAGUCUUUUUGAAAUUGGUUUACAACCUGAUGUUUAUGUAUAUAAUGCAAUUAUGAAAGGACUCUGUCAACAAGGAUUAAUGGAUGAAGCGUAUAAGGUAUUUAAAGACAUGGAAAAGGUAGGAUGUUUACCAGAUAAUUGUUGUUAUAAUAUCAUCAUUCAAGGGUUUCUCAAGCAUGAGGAUUUACCAAAAGCAUCAGAACUAAUCAACGAAAUGGUUGAUAAGGGGUUCUCUGCUGAUGAUGCUACCACAGAAUUGGUCGUACAUUUAUCACAGAAUAAUAAUCUCAUUCUGAGGCUUUUAAAGGUGCGCAAUGAGGGAUCAGCAAACUAAAGUUGUUAUAUCUUGACCAUUCAAGUGUAUCUUGGACCGCAACUUGGUAAUUACCUUUUUCAAAUAUAAUAGAUAUUUUAUUUAACUAACUUCUUCAAAUAUCAUUUUUAAUUUCAAUCAGCUGUGAUUCUCUUCCACAAAAUGAAAAUUUCUAACACCGCAAAUGACCUGUGGUGGAAACCGUGAUAUGUGUGUGCCUUUCGCUUAAAUUCAGAUAUAGACUUGAUCUCUUUGAUAUAAGAUUGUUGAAGAAUGGAGGUCUUGGAUUACAAUUUUAUUUUUGGUUGCUACUACAGCCUUAACUCCAGAGCUCAAUCCUAAAAUUAAGUUGAGAACUAAAACUAAUUGGUUUCAUACUACAAUGCUUAAGAAUCUUUAUCUAUUAUUAUUUUUGUGCUCAAUGACCUUUUAAAAUGCUAUCAUUUCUCUUGUAGGUACUUGCAAGGAUAUGAUUAGAACUUUACUUUUCUAACAAUAAAGGUAUAAGCAAUUCUUUUUGCUUAAUUAUUAUAUUUUUAAUAAUAAUGAAAAUAAUGAUUAUAAACCAGUGUGCUUUAAUUGAGAAUUGAUUUAACAAUUAGACUACCCUAUAAAUGCAGGGUGCAGGAUGUACAAUCCCAGAGUACAUGGUAAGAGAAUCACUAGACUUCUACGGCUGUUGGUUGGAUGAAAUGUCACUAAAAGUAUAGACAACAGAAAAUGUUAUGGGAAUUGAGGGAAAAGCAAAAGAAGACGAUGAAAAUCAGACGUAUGCAGCCACUGAAUGUGUUGAUGGACAAGCAACUGCAAUUGGUCCUACUAGCGAUUGGAAUGCUAGUUUAGCUUCAGCUAUUUAACAGGACUUUUUGUCCAAAUUUAUUUAUGAACAAGUUCAUAAAAGGCAGGAUAGCUCUAUAUAUAACACAGGUAUAAUCAAAGAAGGUGGCAGGAAAAAUGUCAAUACAAAGAAACUUCAUCUGAUUAAAUGGAAUACUCUUUUGUUGCCUAAAAAGAAUGGAGGCUUAGGCAUGAAAGAGAUCUCUCUUCAAAUUCAAGCUCUUUUGUUCAAAUGGCUUUGGAGAUUUGAAAAUCAUAGGGAUUCACUCUGAGUUCAACUUCUUCUAUCCAAAUAUUCUUUCAAUGUGGAGAAGGGUAUCUCUCUUGCUCCAGGAAAUUGCAUUUUUUCCCGUCAGAAAGACAUUCGAGGCUAUGCUACUUUCGAUGAACUCUUCCUUCUCUCCUUGAAUUAAUAUCAGAUUUGCUGUGGGGAAUGAGAUGACAAUGAAAUUUUGGAAUGAGAGACGAUCGGUUGGUAAUAUUGCUCUCAAAUUCUCCUUUAGCAGACUAUUAAAUUUAGCAGCUAACCUAGUUGUGUUGAUGUUAAACAUUAGCUGUUGGGUGAAGAACAAAUGGGAAUGGGAAAUAAUUGAAUUGUCUAAAAUAUACUUAAUCUUUUAUAUUAUUUCUAAUAAUAUAUUUUAUUAUUUAAAUAAUUUUUAUGAAUUUAAAAUUCUAAUUUCCAUAAAUAAAUGUGGUAAUAUUUAUGUGAGAUUGUAAAUUCAAUAUUUUUUAAAAAGGUAGUUUUAGAAAAAAUAAAAUCGAUUUUGUAAACAAAUUUUGAAAAAUGGAAAACCCAAUUACUUUAAAAAUAUCCAUUUCCAUAUAAAUUUAAUUAAAAAAUAAAUAUUUGCUUCUUUUUUUUUUUAACUUUCGUUCCCCAUUAUUAUUUAUAAAUACUAAUAGUUACAUUGGAAAAUUUAUAAUUUAUUUUUAUUAAUAUAAUUUAUUUAAUUAAUUUAUAAUAUAAUAUUUUAAUUUGCAUAUAAAUUCCACAUGUUCACUCCUAUUUUAAUGGAUUAAAAAAUUAUAUAAAUAUACAUUAUUUAAAAUAUUUUAAUUUGAUUUGUUCAAUUAAUUUACUAUUUUAAUUUAAUUUAUGUUCUAUUAACAAAUAUAAUAUUAAAAUUUUUCAUAGAUUGAGUAUUUUACAUAGAAUAAAAAUAUAAAAUUAUUUAGAAUUUUGUCAUAUCUUUCAAAUUAUAAAUCACUAAGUACAAUUUAUUAUUGAAAAUUAAUAAUUUUAAAUAAAAUAAAAAUAUAUUAUUAUUGUUAUUAAUUUUGAAAUUUAUAUUGUAUUAGGAUAAAGUUUUUUAGUUAUAAUUUAUAUAUAAUUUGACUAUAAUAAUUUUUUUAAAAAAAUGUAUAUUAACGGUAAUUUUAUUAAAUAACAGAUAUUAGCAAAUAAAAUUAAAAUUUGAAUAUUUCAAUUAUAGUAAAAAAAUCAACUAAAAUUAUUUAUUUUCUUAAUGUUAUUUUAUUUUAAUUCUUUUAGAUACUUUGAUUAAAUAUAUUCAUAUAAAAUGUGAUAUUAAGAUAAUAGGAGCCCAAAUUUAAUUGCCUAUUUGCAAUAAUAAUAAUAAUAAUAAUAAUAAUAAUAAUAAUAAUAAUAAUAAUAAUAAUAAUAAUAAUAAUAAUAUUUAAUAAUAAUAAUAAUAAUAAUAUUUAAUAAUAAUAAUAAUAAUAAUAUUAUCAUUAUUAUUAUUAUUAUUAUUAUUAUUAUUAUAUAAAAAAUUAGAUAAUUAAUAAAAAUUCCUCUUCACUAGGGUGAGCAGUAUUCAGUUCAAACCGAAAAAAUCGACCGAAUCGAAUUAAUUUGAAAAUUCAGUUCGGUUUUUUAUUUAUUUCGAUUCAGUUCGGUUUUAAAUUUCAGAAAUUUUGGUCAAAUCGAUUCGGUUCGAUUUUAAUCAGAAAAAAAUCGAAAAAACCGAACCGAACCGAUUAGUAAUAAUAAUAUAGUUUUUUAAUAAUAUAGAGAAAUUAAAUCAUAUUAAAAUUAAAAUAUUUUAAUUAAAUUUUAAAAUAUUAAAAAUAAAUUGUAAAAAAUAAAAAAAUUAUUAAAAAUUGAAACCGAUUAAACCGAAUCGAAUCGAACCGAAUCAGACCGGUUCGGUUCGAUUCGGUUUCUGACCAAAAUCGAUUCGGUUCGGUUUUCAUAAAUACUAAAAUUUCAAUUUUCGGUUUAUUCAGUUCGAUUCGGUUUUGAACAGAACCGACCGAAUGCUCACCCCUAUUCUUCACUGCUUUAAUUUGCAACUUUUUUAAAAUCAAUUAAUAAACUAAUCCAGCUAAAAUAUUUUAUUUAAUGCUAAAAUUCUAAAUUUUAUCUCACUUGUUAUCCAUAUAUAUAAAUUGAAUUUCAAUUACUCUUCUGAAUUUCCUUUCGAGUUUUUUCACUCUCAAAUCUUUUUUUAAUUUAGAAAAGUUUGAUCAAUAAUGUCAUUGUGGAGAGUUUUUAACAGGAAAAUGGAUUCUCUCCCUAGGAUUUUAGGUCAAUGAUAUGCAAUCAAGUCAUUUUUUUCUUAUAAAUUACUCUCCAGUUCAACUGAUCUGAAAACUAAAACACCGCAAAUUAAAAAGGGCUAUGCAACCAUAUACGUGGAUGACGAGGGCAAGAGAUAUCAAAUUCCAAUAGAGAAUCUAAAGUUUUCGACAUUAUAAGAACCGAUUAAACAGUUUCAUGAUAGUGAUCUCGACUCCAAGAUUGAUGGGCCAAUCGUGUUGCUUACACUACUGAUAAGUUUGAUAAACUGCUAAAACUUACAAGAGAUUGUCAUAUGAAACUUUAAAAAAAUUUGAAUAAUUCUUUUCUAUAUGAUUGAAUUACUAAUAAAUUUUUAUGUUUUAUUAAAAUUACAUAUUCGAUUUCUAUUUCGAAAUCACUCAAUUAAAAUAUUUUGAGUUUUAUAAAAUCAAAAACUUUAAUAUUCUUAUCGAAUAAAAUAUUAGUAAAUAUAACAAAUAAAAUUGAAAAUGCCAAAUAUAUGAAAUGAGUUUGAGCAUUUUAAAAUUUUAUUAUAUUGAAAUCAUUUUGUAUAUUAAUUUUUUAUUAUAUUAAUUAAAAUUGUAAUAUUAUUCAAAUAAAAAAUGCUUUAAAUAACUUUUGUAAAAGUAAAGCUUGGUAAAAAAAUUAAUUUAAAAUAAAAUAAUUAAUAAUAAAAAAUUAUAUAAAAUAAAAAUCAAUUAGAUUUUUCAUGAAAUUUUAUUCAAUAUUAAAAAUAAAAUUAACUAUUUAUAUAACCGCCUUUAAUUAGGUACCCAAUAUUGUAUAAAAAAAAUAAUAUAGAAGUAAUAUAUAUGUAUAAUUAACAUACACAAUGUCUACAAAUAGGCAAUAGCCAAUAGCACUUUAGCAAUGAUAAAUUAUUAUUAUAUAAAUUUAAUUUGUUAUUAAAUAAUAUUUUUAUAUGAAAAUUUAAUAAAAAAUUACAAAAUGUGGUGCAUAUAAACAACAGAGUAAUGCAUUUCCUUUACCAGCAGGCAGAGAGCCUUCCUUUUCCAAUUCUCUAUUUCCUUUCCUCAUUCCCAAUCUCCGAUCCAUCCCUAAAAACAACUGAAGAGAGAUAUGAUGAUGAAGAUGCCUUGGAGGAGGAAGAGCAGGAGCUUCCAUCUUCAGCUACAAGGGGCAAUUGGUACCAUUCAAUCUCCAUUCCUAUUCUUAUUUACCAAUUAUUGCCAUUCUUCUACUUCCACACUUGAAGAUGCACGCUUCUUCACAAAUAACUUCAAAUCUGCUUCUUUUACCCGCCUUCAUGAUGCCAUUGCUUCCUUUAAUCAUGUAAUUCAUAUGAAUCCUCUGCCUUCUAGGGUUCAUUUUAAUAGAUUCUUAUCUGCCCUUGUGAAAAUGAAACAAUAUCACACUGUCCUUUCCAUGUCCAAAACAAUUGAAUUUCUAGGAAUCUCACACGAUGUUUAUUCUCUUAGCAUCUUAAUUAAUUGCUUCUGCCACUUACACCUCGGGGAUUUUGGCUUCUCUGUUUUUGGUAAGAUGCUCAAAUUCGGAUUGGAGCCUACCACUGUGACAUUUACUACCUUAAUUAAUGGGCUUUGUAUGGAGAGUAAAAUCGACAAAGCAGUAGAAUUUUUCGAUGAUAUGGUUGCACGUGGUUAUCAACCUAAUGUUUAUACUUAUAAUGUGAUAGUAAAUGGAAUGUGUAA